GACGAACGCUGGCGGCAUGCCUAAUACAUGCAAGUCGAGCGAACAGAUGAAGUGCUUGCACUUCUGACGUUAGCGGCGAACGGGUGAGUAACACGUAAGGAAUCUACCUAUAAGCGGGGGAUAACAUUCGGAAACGGGUGCUAAUACCGCAUAAUAUCUUCUUCCGCAUGGAAGAAGAUUGAAAGACGGCUCUGCUGUCACUUAUAGAUGACCUUGCGGUGCAUUAGUUAGUUGGUGGGGUAAUGGCAUACCAAGACGAUGAUGCAUAGCCGACCUGAGAGGGUGAUCGGCCACAUUGGGACUGAGACACGGCCCAAACUCCUACGGGAGGCAGCAGUAGGGAAUCGUCCGCAAUGGGCGAAAGCCUGACGGAGCAAUGCCGCGUGAGUGAAGAAGGCCUUCGGGUCGUAAAACUCUGUUAUAAGAGAAGAACAAAUUGUAGAGUAACUGCUACAGUCUUGACGGUAUCUUAUCAGAAAGCCACGGCUAACUACGUGCCAGCAGCCGCCGUAA
This 513-nucleotide ribosomal RNA is filed under the name uncultured bacterium. Its description in RNAcentral is "partial 16S ribosomal RNA". It matches the Rfam family "Bacterial small subunit ribosomal RNA", at positions 28 to 523 of the family's 1533-position model. The record is from RNAcentral.